CAUGGCGGAUGCCUUGGCUCAUGGAGGCGAUGAAGGACGUGAUAAGCUGCGAUAAGCCCGGGGUAGGUGCAAAUGACCUCUGAUCCCGGGAUUUCCGAAUGGGACAACCCGGCUGUCUGAAGGACAGCCGCCGUCGGCACAGUCCGAUGGCGCCAACCGAGGGAACUGAAACAUCUUAGUACCUCGAGGAAAAGAAAACAAAACGUGAUUCCCCCAGUAGUGGCGAGCGACCGGGGAAGAGCCCAAACCGCAGGCGUAGCAAUGCGCCU
This 269-nucleotide ribosomal RNA is filed under the name Prevotella sp. P3-122. Its description in RNAcentral is "Bacterial large subunit ribosomal RNA". It matches the Rfam family "Bacterial large subunit ribosomal RNA", at positions 20 to 291 of the family's 2925-position model. Lineage: Bacteria; Pseudomonadati; Bacteroidota; Bacteroidia; Bacteroidales; Prevotellaceae. The record is from Rfam by way of RNAcentral.